UAGUCCACGCUGUAAACGAUGAGAACUAGCUGUUGGGUAUUAAUAUUUAGUGGCGCAGUUAACGCGAUAAGUUCUCCCCUGGGGGAGUACGGUCGCAAGGCUAAAACUCAAAGGAACUGACGGGGGCCCGCACAAGCGGUGGAGUAUGUGGUUUAAUUCGAAGCAACGCGCAGAACCUUACCUACCCUUAACAUUUCACGACGUAUACAGAGAUGUAUAUUUCUCUUCGGAGACGUGAGGAUAGGUGCUGCAUGGCUGUCGUCAGCUCGUGUCGUAAGAUGUCUGGUUAAGUCCAAUAACGAGCGCAACCCUUAUCCUUAGUCACCAGCAUUAAGUUGGGGACUCUAGGGAGACUGCCGGUGUUAAACCGGAGGAAGGCGGGGAUGACGUCAAGUCCUCAUGGCCCUUACGGGUAGGGCUACACACGUACUACAAUGGCAGAUACAAACCGUUUGCAAAGCCGCGAGGUUGAGCUAAUCGGUAAACACUGUCCCAGUCCGGAUUGGAGUCUGCAACUCGACUCCA
Molecule: ribosomal RNA, 525 nt
Filed under: uncultured bacterium
Lineage: Bacteria
Description: bacterial SSU rRNA
Rfam family: Bacterial small subunit ribosomal RNA
Source: RNAcentral